This 57-nucleotide transfer RNA is filed under the name Bos taurus (domestic cattle). It matches the Rfam family "tRNA", at positions 8 to 63 of the family's 71-position model. Rfam says of the family: Transfer RNA (tRNA) molecules are approximately 80 nucleotides in length. Lineage: Eukaryota; Metazoa; Chordata; Mammalia; Artiodactyla; Bovidae. The record is from Rfam by way of RNAcentral. RNAcentral also lists the same sequence under 5 other names.
UGGUCCAGUAGUUAGGACUCAGUACUUUCACUGCUGGGACCCAGGUUCAAUCCCUGG